CCAACGGCGUGGAUGGGCAUCCAGUAGCCGGACGGCAGGCGUUCACAGAGACCCGGUGGCAGGUGCGAACCGGGACGCCCCGUCCGCGCGAAUUACAGCCCUGAGCCGGCCGGGGGAACCGCGGGCUGCCAGCCCGGCGCGUAGCCCGGUCCCGGAAGCAGCCUUCCGUUAUGUUCAACGAAGUGGGAAUCCAUUUGGCUUUGCCUGUCAUAGCAUGCGCAGGCGGAGCGGAUUCCAACAAGGGUGGUACCGCGAGCUAAUCCUUCUCGUCCCUUCG
RNAcentral lists this non-coding RNA (277 nucleotides) under Paenibacillus sp. P22. The record is from RNAcentral. Lineage: Bacteria; Bacillati; Bacillota; Bacilli; Caryophanales; Paenibacillaceae.